UUGUCAGAAGAAGAGGGAAUACGUAAGGAGCGAGCGUUGUCCGGAUUUACUGGGCGUAAAGAGCUCGUAGGUGGUUUCUUAGGUCUCACGUGAAAUUCCCUGGCUCAACUGGGGAGGGUCGUGGGAAACCGAGAAGCUAGAGGGCAGGAGAGGAGAGUGGAAUUCCCGGUGUAGUGGUGAAAUGCGUAGAGAUCGGGAGGAACACCAGUGGUGAAGACGGCUCUCUGGACUGUCCCUGACACUGAGGAGCGAAAGCCAGGGGAGCAAACCGGAUUAGAUACCCGGGUAGUCCUGGCCGUAAACGAUGGGUACUAGGUGUGGGGGGUUCGACCCCCUCCGUGCCGCAGUUAACGCAUUAAGUACCCCGCCUGGGGAGUACGGCCGCAAGGUUGAAACUCAAAGAAAUUGGCGG
This 412-nucleotide ribosomal RNA is filed under the name uncultured bacterium. RNAcentral describes it as "bacterial SSU rRNA". It matches the Rfam family "Bacterial small subunit ribosomal RNA", at positions 505 to 916 of the family's 1533-position model. The record is from RNAcentral.